UAGGUAUUCCUUGCAAUUCAAGUAAUCAGCAAAGCUUUUUUAAAGAGUGGGGAAUUUCAGUGAGAGGUAAGGAAAGCUAGAGUUUUCUUUGAGAGGUAUUUCUUGAAUUGAUUAUUGUGGAAAAGAAGAGUUAUUAGGGUUUUGUGAGGUCAUAGAAGUUUUGAAGAAGGUUAUUCAAGGGUGAGCUUUCUAGUUACAAUUAUAAUGAAGGAAGUGUUAUUUUCAGUGCACUGGUGAGUAAGGAAGCAUAAGGAUCAGAGUAGCACAACGAAUGAUGAUGGGCAUGUCAUUACCAAUCAGUGGUAUGCGUGAAGAGCUUUCUUAAUCAAGUGUUGAUGGUUUGGGCAGUGAUAUCAUUAUCUGGGAAUGAGUUGAGAAUGUUUAGUUAUCUUCAAAGGUUAGAAGUGAGUUACUCACAAAGGAAAUAGGUAAGAGAUACAGAAGAAAAAGUGAGCUUACGAUUUCAAGCUAUAGUGUCAACCUUAAAUUGAGGAAGUAUUAAUAGAGGUGGAAUAGAGAGAGGGGUCAAGGGAUGAAGGAGAUGAUUUAAGCUAUGAUUUUGAGUUGUAGCAUCAACCUAGAGGUAAGGAAGUGUUAAAAGAUAGUUUGAACAAAGAGGAGAUUCAAGUUCUUGGUUUGAUAAGAAUUGAGUAAGAUUUGGUUGAAGAGUAUGAAGUCUGGGGUCUAAAGUGAAGUUGUAAAGAGAUUUCAUUAGUAUAGUUAAAAGUACUAUAACUAAAAUGGUUUGACAAUCCUAGUUUGAGAUGUAUCAUAAAGGGGUUUGGUACUGAUCAAGCUAGUGAUCUCAAGUCGAGGAGGAUAUAGAUCUAUGUAUGAUUACAGGAUAAUGGGUCAAGAAAUGCAUAUGGUUCAGGUUGACAAGUUGAAGGAGUGAGGAUGGAGGGUUCACUUUGGUUUUGUCGUUGCAAUGGAGAAAAGUUUUACUUUGGUAAUGAGAUAGUAUAAUUGGAAAUUAUGGUACUCAAGAGUGAAGAUCAAUAAAGCAUUGUGAAGCUCUCAGAAUAGAUGUGGUUAAAGGUGAUCAAGAGCAUACCAGUUGGUAGUUAAAUCAAAAGUUGUAGUGAUCAAGCUCGUGGUAUAGAGGUUCUUAGAGGAAGCAAGAGGAGGUAAAAAAGUAUCAAUUAAGGGUGGAUUUGAAGUUAAGACUAGUAGAGGUUUUAGAAGAGAUUUACAAGAAGUGGUGGAGGAUAGAUGAUGGGUUGGCAGUGUGGCAGAAACAAUAUGGUUGAUUAUGUGAAAGAAAGGUUCUUAAAAGUUGAGGUGUAGGGGAUUCAAUAUUGGUUUGAGAAUAAUGACUAUACCAAUCUACACCAUUAAACACUAGAGCAUUUUAGCAUAAAGACAAGGUUUUUCAUGUCAGUAAGUUGGAUGAGGAGUAAUAUAUUUGUCAAAUAGGUGGUUGUAUUAGAGAAUGUGAUGAUAAUAGGUUGUUCCUUUUAUCUAAUGAGUGAAUU
This 1475-nucleotide long non-coding RNA is filed under the name Vigna radiata. RNAcentral's name for it is "long non-coding RNA (VRAD_LNC010280)". Lineage: Eukaryota; Viridiplantae; Streptophyta; Magnoliopsida; Fabales; Fabaceae. The record is from RNAcentral.